GAUGAACGCUGGCGGCGUGCCUAAUACAUGCAAGUCGAGCGAACAGACGAGGAGCUUGCUCCUCUGACGUUAGCGGCGGACGGGUGAGUAACACGUGGAUAACCUACCUAUAAGACUGGGAUAACUUCGGGAAACCGGAGCUAAUACCGGAUGAUAUAUUGAACCGCAUGGUUCAAUAGUGAAAGACGGUUUUGCUGUCACUUAUAGAUGGAUCCGCGCCGCAUUAGCUAGUUGGUAAGGUAACGGCUUACCAAGGCAACGAUGCGUAGCCGACCUGAGAGGGGGGUCGGCCACACUGGAACUGAGACACGGUCCAGACUCCUACGGGAGGCAGCAGUAGGGAAUCUUCCGCAAAGGGCGGAAGCCUUACGGAGCAACGCCGCGUGAGUGAUGAAGGUCUUCGGAUCGUAAAACUCUGUUAUUAGGGAAGAACAAAUGUGUAAGUAACUAUGCACGGCUUGACGGUACCUAAUCAGAAAGCCACGGCUAACUACGUG
Molecule: ribosomal RNA, 497 nt
Filed under: uncultured bacterium
Lineage: Bacteria
Description: partial 16S ribosomal RNA
Rfam family: Bacterial small subunit ribosomal RNA
Source: RNAcentral